UACGUAGGUGGCAAGCGUUGUCCGGAUUUAUUGGGCGUAAAGAGCGUGUAGGCGGCCAUACAGGUCAGCUGUGAAAACUCGAGGCUCAACCUCGAGACGUCGGUUGAAACCGUAUGGCUAGAGUCCGGAAGAGGAGAGUGGAAUUCCCGGUGUAGCGGUGAAAUGCGCAGAUAUCGGGAAGAACACCCGUGGCGAAGGCGGCUCUCUGGGACGGUACUGACGCUGAGACGCGAAAGCGUGGGGAGCGAACAGG
Molecule: ribosomal RNA, 253 nt
Filed under: uncultured bacterium
Lineage: Bacteria
Description: partial 16S ribosomal RNA
Rfam family: Bacterial small subunit ribosomal RNA
Source: RNAcentral